CAGUAGCCACGGUAAUACGGAGGGUGCAAGCGUUAAUCGGAAUUACUGGGCGUAAAGCGCACGCAGGCGGUCUGUCAAGUCAGAUGUGAAAUCCCCGGGCUUAACCUGGGAACUGCAUUUGAAACUGUCAGGCUGGAGUCUUGUAGAGGGGGGUAGAAUUCCAGGUGUAGCGGUGAAAUGCGUAGAGAUCUGGAGGAAUACCGGUGGCGAAGGCGGCCCCCUGGACAAAGACUGACGCUCAGGUGCGAAAGCGUGGGGAGCAAACAGGAUUAGAUACCCCAGUAGUCCCUGUCUCUUAUAC
RNAcentral lists this ribosomal RNA (301 nucleotides) under uncultured bacterium. Its description in RNAcentral is "partial 16S ribosomal RNA". It matches the Rfam family "Bacterial small subunit ribosomal RNA", at positions 509 to 807 of the family's 1533-position model. The record is from RNAcentral.